This 367-nucleotide ribosomal RNA is filed under the name uncultured bacterium. RNAcentral's name for it is "bacterial SSU rRNA". It matches the Rfam family "Bacterial small subunit ribosomal RNA", at positions 29 to 423 of the family's 1533-position model. The record is from RNAcentral.
AUGAACGCUGGCGGUAUGCUUAACACAUGCAAGUCGAACGGAGUACUUCGGUACUUAGUGGCGGACGGGUGAGUAACGCGUGAGAAUCUGCCUUCAGGUUCGGGACAACCACUGGAAACGGUGGCUAAUACCGAAUGUGCAGUAAUGUGAAAUAUUUAUAGCCUGGAGAUGAGCUCGCGUCUGAUUAGCUAGUAGGUGUGGUAAGAGCGCACCUAGGCGACGAUCAGUAGCUGGUCUGAGAGGAUGAUCAGUCACACUGGAACUGAGACACGGUCCAGACUCCUACGGGAGGCAGCAGUGGGGAAUAUUGGACAAUGGGCGAAAGCCUGAUCCAGCCAUGCCGCGUGUGUGAAGAAGGUCUUCGGAU